Molecule: ribosomal RNA, 381 nt
Filed under: uncultured bacterium
Lineage: Bacteria
Description: partial 16S ribosomal RNA
Rfam family: Bacterial small subunit ribosomal RNA
Source: RNAcentral
GACGAACGCUGGCGGCGUGCUUAACACAUGCAAGUCGAACGGUGAACCGGGCUUCGGCCCGGGGAUCAGUGGCGAACGGGUGCGUAACACGUGGGCAACCUGCCUCAGACACUGGGGAUAACCCCGGGAAACCGGGGCUAAUACCGGAUACUCCGACCGGACUGCAUGAUCCGGCCGGGAAAGCUCCGACGGUCUGAGAUGGGCCCGCGGCCUAUCAGCUUGUUGGUGGGGUAACGGCCCACCAAGGCGACGACGGGAGCUGGUCUGAGAGGACGACCAGCCACACUGGAACUGAGACACGGUCCAGACUCCUACGGGAGGCAGCAGUGGGGAAGUCUUGCGCAAUGGGCGAAAGCCUGACGCAGCGACGCCGCGUGGGGA